CGGUGGAAGUAAUUCCAUUAGACUGUUAAACAAAAUUAGAAACUUCUUGAAACAAAAAUACUAGUCAAAAUCGGUGAACGCCUAGGCAGUAAUGCAAGGUCAACACCGAGGGAAGUCCGACGUAACGUCGGACCCUGUAACGACUUGUGCGAAAGCACAGAUAUCAGCUUGCGGAUAUUCCGGGUACUUAAACUGAUAUAUAAAACUAGCCCCCGAAGAACAUCGGGGUGAAGGUAUAGUCUGAUCCUGUGAGUAAUCACAGA
Molecule: non-coding RNA, 263 nt
Filed under: Candidatus Daviesbacteria bacterium GW2011_GWB1_36_5
Lineage: Bacteria; Candidatus Daviesiibacteriota
Source: RNAcentral